Molecule: ribosomal RNA, 253 nt
Filed under: uncultured prokaryote
Description: partial 16S ribosomal RNA
Rfam family: Bacterial small subunit ribosomal RNA
Source: RNAcentral
ACGGAGGAUCCAAGCGUUAUCCGGAUUUAUUGGGUUUAAAGGGUGCGUAGGCGGCGUGCUAAGUCAGGGGUGAAAGACGGUGGCUCAACCAUCGCAGUGCCUUUGAUACUGGCAUGCUUGAAUGUACAUGAGGUAGGCGGAAUGUGGCAAGUAGCGGUGAAAUGCAUAGAUAUGCCACAGAACACCGAUUGCGAAGGCAGCUUACCAAAGUAUUAUUGACGCUGAUGCACGAAAGCGUGGGGAUCAAACAGGA